CCCACGCCUCUCUCUGUACCCUGGAGGACCGGCUUUGCCUGGCAGUGGCCUGGCUGCCAGGUAGCUCCAGACUCUCUGCUCAGCGGGGCCCCAGGCUGCCCCGGUCCCCAGCCUGCGCCGGGCCCUAUAUAUAGCAUAGGUCUCCAUAGCCCUCUGCUGGACCCUGACGUCAGGAAAACUUGAUCUUGCCUGCUUCGCUCCUGCUUCUGAAACUGAUACUAGAAAUGAGAGAACAGACUCUACACAAUUCCCAUGGCCUUGACAUAAGUUGUGGGGGGGUGUGCAGUUCACUGGCCCAUGUGGAACUCGAACCAGCGACCUUGGUGUUACGGUGUUAUGAGCACCGCGUUCCAGCCAUUGAGCCAACCGGUCGCCCACUGGCAGCUCAGCUCCAAGCUCAAGCUGUUGUUUUAAUAUAGUUAUAGAGGGCAUAGCUCACUGGCGCAUGUGGGAGUCAACUGGCAACCUUGUUGUUAAGAGCUUGCAUUCUAACCAACUCUAACCAACUGAGCCAUCCGGCUGCCCCUGGAUCCUAUUCUUGAGGCUGGUUUCCUGGGGGUUCCGGAUAUCACCGUCAGCCCAGACCAAGGACAAGCUGAAGAAUCUGUGCCUGCGUCCCUGGGAAUGGACAUGGGCCAGCACAGAGGGACUUAUUCAGCGACAGGGUCCUGCUGCGUGUGGGGGUCAUGGCUGAAGAUUAUGGGAAGCCAGAGCACUUCCAAGGCUCCUCUUCUCUGCCCACGUCCCCUGCCACCCACACACAUCUUCAGUUUUUCCAGCUGAAAAGGAGAUUGUAUUUAGAAA
This is a long non-coding RNA of Rhinolophus ferrumequinum (greater horseshoe bat), 804 nucleotides long. RefSeq lists it as uncharacterized. The transcript is spliced from 3 exons. The record is from RefSeq and is a predicted model, not a curated record. NCBI's taxonomy places the organism in Eukaryota, Metazoa, Chordata, Mammalia, Chiroptera, Rhinolophidae.